UGGAGGCAGAGACGGAUGGAAGGACAGACAGACCCAGAGUCGGAGGAGGAGUCAGUGUCAUGGAGACGGAGAGCGGCCAGCCGGAGGGACAGGACCCACUCUCCGAAGGACGACGGGGGCACCGCUCAGGGGGCAGAGAAUUGUUCUACUGGAGAGCCAGACGUCUUACUGCCGCUUGCCAGAAAUUGGAUGAAACGAAUGUACAAAUUAACAACGUCUGUUGUAAAUGGA
Long non-coding RNA from Chinchilla lanigera (long-tailed chinchilla), 231 nucleotides. RefSeq lists it as uncharacterized. The transcript is spliced from 2 exons. The record is from RefSeq and is a predicted model, not a curated record. NCBI's taxonomy places the organism in Eukaryota, Metazoa, Chordata, Mammalia, Rodentia, Chinchillidae.